CAUGAUUAACUUUAAGUUAGGAUUGUAUAGAGGGUAGUCGCAGUCGCCCCAACUCCGAUUUGAAGCUAUAGAUUAUAUUUGUAGUUUCAAGUAAGGUGAGAAGCAACUAUUAGGUUGGAAACUUUAAUUUUAUCGAGAAAUUAAGGAACUGU
This 152-nucleotide non-coding RNA is filed under the name unclassified sequences. Its description in RNAcentral is "IS605-orfB-II RNA". It matches the Rfam family "IS605-orfB-II RNA". The record is from Rfam by way of RNAcentral.